This 253-nucleotide ribosomal RNA is filed under the name uncultured bacterium. RNAcentral describes it as "partial 16S ribosomal RNA". It matches the Rfam family "Bacterial small subunit ribosomal RNA", at positions 524 to 776 of the family's 1533-position model. The record is from RNAcentral.
UACGUAGGGUGCAAGCGUUAAUCGGAAUUACUGGGCGUAAAGCGUGUGCAGGCGGAUAGGCAAGUUAGAUGUGAAAUCCCCGAGCUUAACUUGGGAAUUGCAUUUAAGACUGCUUAUCUAGAGUGUAUUAGAGGGGGGUGGAAUUCCACGUGUAGCAGUGAAAUGCGUAGAUAUGUGGAGGAACACCAAAGGCGAAGGCAGCCCCCUGGGAUAACACUGACGCUCAUACACGAAAGCGUGGGUAGCAAACAGG